Molecule: long non-coding RNA, 1067 nt
Organism: Triticum aestivum (bread wheat)
Lineage: Eukaryota; Viridiplantae; Streptophyta; Magnoliopsida; Poales; Poaceae
Exons: 2
Source: RefSeq, a predicted model, not a curated record
ACUUAAUUUUUCUGGCAAUUUUCUAUCUAUAACAAUGCAACAGACUUUCUUAGAAUAAUCUUAAUUACAGAAUUGCACUGAAUAAAAGAAAAUAUGCGCAGAACAUAAAUUUGUUGGCCCAAUACAGCCCACGGCUACCCUUAAUUCAUUCGGCCCAGCUCAAAAGACAAUAACAUUAGGGGGAAAAACGUUUCCUGCCAGGAUAAGACAAGCUGGGCCGCAACCCAGCUGCAGAAGCGGCGUUUUAAGCGCCCGAAGGCCCGUUCGGAGCUGCGCAACGGCCUCAGCCGUUGGAUCAAGCCGACGGCCCCGAUCCUCCCGGGCCAGAGCAAGAGGUCAAAACCCUAGCGGCAUCUCCCCUCAUCUCCCCCGAUUUUCACGGAGCAGCGACACAGAGGCGACCAAAACUGCGAUCCGAGGUACUCCGGCCAUGGCGGUGUGGCAGCUCCGUUCGUCGGAGCAGCGUGUCUGGCUCAAGGCUGUGCGCUCCUCCGCCGAACGGCGCCAGCCAUGUCGAGCUCAUGGCGAGACCCGGAGUCCUUCAGCGCCUGGGAUGCGGGAGGCAUCUCGUCGGCGGCUGCCAACGCAAGCAUUCCGCAGCGACGGUGGCGUCAACGUGCAAGGCACAGAGGCCGGCCGACGCGCGUGUCCAUGAGCACAGCAGCUGCGGCCACAAUCUUCCCGCGCGUCGUCCCGAGAGACGGCGGCGUCGGGAUCCAGAAAAGGAUAGCACCGCGUGGCUUCUUAGGCACAACAUAGCCCAUGAACUCCAGUGGCGAGGAUGAGCAACAGCAGUGGCACCGCGGUGAUGUAGUCGUGGAGAGGCAGCAGCUCAUCCAGGAGCUUCGCCGGUGGCAGCAGGAAGCCGCCGGCACAGCCUUGCGGCGGCCAGAGGUGGAAACGGCCUUCUGAUCCCCUUAGCUCCCCCUUUUUAGGAUCGGUAGUUGAGGUCAUGGUAAAACUUAUCUGUAUGUGAUGGAUCACCCAUACAGGAGAGGAAGUACCUCUCUUUUAUACGUGGGGCUAGGGAACAGGGACCGAAACCAAUAGGUUGUUUGCACCCCCGA